GGGGUCGUAGUUCAGUUUGGUUAGAACGCCUGCCUGUCACGCAGGAGGUCGCCGGUUCGAGUCCGGUCGGCCCCGCCA
Molecule: transfer RNA, 78 nt
Filed under: Candidatus Krumholzibacteriia bacterium
Lineage: Bacteria; Candidatus Krumholzibacteriota; Candidatus Krumholzibacteriia
Also listed under: 1 other name
Description: tRNA-Asp
Rfam family: tRNA
About the family: Transfer RNA (tRNA) molecules are approximately 80 nucleotides in length. Their secondary structure includes four short double-helical elements and three loops (D, anti-codon, and T loops). Further hydrogen bonds mediate the characteristic L-shaped molecular structure. tRNAs have two regions of fundamental functional importance: the anti-codon, which is responsible for specific mRNA codon recognition, and the 3' end, to which the tRNAs corresponding amino acid is attached (by aminoacyl-tRNA synthetases). tRNAs cope with the degeneracy of the genetic code in two manners: having more than one tRNA (with a specific anti-codon) for a particular amino acid; and 'wobble' base-pairing, i.e. permitting non-standard base-pairing at the 3rd anti-codon position.
Source: RNAcentral